AGCAACUCGCACUGACUUCUCCACUGCGGCAGCGCGGCGCACAGUGGGCCAAACUGGCAGUAUAUCCGUCAAAUUAUUAUAAGGAAAUGCCGGGUAGCACGAGUAUUCGCUUCGUGGAACUCUUACGCCCGAUCGCCAGUUGGAAGCCCCUCGACUUGAAGAAAAGCAAAUGCCGCAAAGCAGUUGCAUUUAAAGGCAUAAUCCUCUUAGGUAUGAAGACUGCACGGGGAUCGUUCUUGUUGGUUAAAUACUAAGAUGACAUAAAAAAACCAAUGGUAUAACCAUGACUAAUAAUUGUCAUCUAUUAAAUAUAAGUGUAAAAAGACAGAGAUAUAUAACCUACAAUAAUGAUGUAACCCAUAAUAAAGCACUUAGACCACACUUACCACCUGAUAAACAAUAACCCUUCGCUCAAUUCACACUUCCCAGUGAUUAUCGCCAGCUAUCAACAGGCAUUUAAUCAAAUACCCUCAAAAAUGAUGCCUCAUUAAUAAUAUGGCUCUUUAUAAGCCCCAGUAAUUUGUUCAAAAUGAAGCAGAACCAUUUCCCUUUCCAGAAAAAAAAA
Drosophila suzukii is the source of this 565-nucleotide non-coding RNA. The record is from RefSeq and is a predicted model, not a curated record. Lineage: Eukaryota; Metazoa; Arthropoda; Insecta; Diptera; Drosophilidae.